GUGUUUGCCUCGGCAACACAAACACAAGACUUGGAAUGAUACAGGGAUGGGUGUGGCCCCUGCGGAAGGAUGACUUGGAAAUGUGCAAAGUGCUCCAUAUUUUU
RNAcentral lists this small nuclear RNA (104 nucleotides) under Sciurus vulgaris (Eurasian red squirrel). Lineage: Eukaryota; Metazoa; Chordata; Mammalia; Rodentia; Sciuridae. The record is from RNAcentral.